Dioscorea cayenensis subsp. rotundata (Guinea yam) is the source of this 108-nucleotide small nucleolar RNA. The record is from RefSeq and is a predicted model, not a curated record. Lineage: Eukaryota; Viridiplantae; Streptophyta; Magnoliopsida; Dioscoreales; Dioscoreaceae.
AACCCAUGCUGAGGACAUUUCCGUAGGAGAUCCUUGAACUUCUACCAUUUUCACAAAUAGAGACUCCAAUUCCGUUUGCACAAAUGAGGAUAUUUCAUUCCUAAGCUU